This is a long non-coding RNA of Mytilus californianus (California mussel), 637 nucleotides long. RefSeq lists it as uncharacterized. Lineage: Eukaryota; Metazoa; Mollusca; Bivalvia; Mytilida; Mytilidae. The transcript is spliced from 3 exons. The record is from RefSeq and is a predicted model, not a curated record.
CAAGUAGAUGACAUUCAUCAUGUCAGAUGAAUUUGAAUAAUAAUUAAAUAACUAAUUCUAAUAUAUAAGAGUCUAGAAUGGACCGAAUAAAAAGUAUUAUUUUGGUAUCAUCAUUAUUUCUUCUAAAUGUGGUAACGAUAAAUUGUCGUUUGGAUACAACGGACCCUUGCAACCCAGUAUUAUUUUCAAAACGACCAGAGAGGAAUGUGGAUAUUCCUUAUGAAUGUUUGAAUGGCACAGUUAGCUGGCAUUAUCCAAUGGCAUUUCUAAACAUUCUGUUCACAGCUACAGUACAGGAAUACGAAGUUUGUAUAGGGCACAUAACAGACAAAACUGUUAAAAAAAUAUAUGAAAUCAUUGAUGGAGUAACUGAACAGCUUCCUUUACCAAAGAAAGGGGAAGAAAUUUGCACCUUACCGACGACACAGAAUGUCACAAUGAGAAUUGUUGGACCAAGGAAAUUCACAACUUACACGGCAUAUAUUCCAUAUUUUAUCUACGAAUUUAGCUAGUAAAAAUGGAAGACGGAAGGAAAUCAUAGACAUCUUGACCUCACAAUGUACCAUUUUAUCAAACACAGAUUUUUACUUUAUGUCAUUUUCCGCAAUCAUGAAUUAAAAAUGUAUAGAAUGUAAAA